This 31-nucleotide non-coding RNA is filed under the name Rattus norvegicus (Norway rat). Lineage: Eukaryota; Metazoa; Chordata; Mammalia; Rodentia; Muridae. The record is from RNAcentral.
UACUCAACGCACAGCGUGUGCCUCACCUUUC